AUUGAACGCUGGCGGCAGGCCUAACACAUGCAAGUCGAACGGUAACAGGAAGCAGCUUGCUGCUUCGCUGACGAGUGGCGGACGGGUGAGUAAUGUCUGUGAAGCUGCCUGAUGGAGGGGGAUAACUACUGGAACCGGUAGCUAAUACCGCAUAAUGUCGCAAGCCCAAAGAGGGGGACCUUCGGGCCUCUUGCCAUCGGCUGUGCCCAGGUGGGAUUAGCUUGUUGGUGGGGUAACGGCUCACCAAGGCGACGAUCCCUAGCUGGUCUGAGAGGAUGACCAGCCACACUGGGACUGAGACACGGUCCAGACUCCUACGGGAGGCAGCAGUGGGGAAUAUUGCACAAUGGGCGCAAGCCUGAUGCAGCCAUGCCGCGUGUAUGAAGAAGGCCUUCGGGUUGUAAAGUACUUUCAGCGGGGAGGAAGGGAGUAAAGUUAAUACCUUCGCUCAUUGACGUUACCCGCAGAAGAAGCACCGGCUAACUCCGUG
This 490-nucleotide ribosomal RNA is filed under the name uncultured bacterium. RNAcentral's name for it is "partial 16S ribosomal RNA". It matches the Rfam family "Bacterial small subunit ribosomal RNA", at positions 30 to 507 of the family's 1533-position model. The record is from RNAcentral.